UUUGGUUGAUUUUGCCAGUAGUCAUAUGCUUGUCUUAAAGAUUAAGCCAUGCAUGUCUAAGUAUAAAUAGUAUAUAGUGAAAUUGUGAAAGGUUUAUUAAAUUAGUUAUAGUUUAUUUGAUAAUUGAAUUCUACAAGGAUAACUGUAGUAAUUCUAGAGCUAAUACUUGUUGUAAACCUGAUUUUUUGGAAAGGUUGUAUUUAUUAGAUAGUAAAUCAAUAGCUUUUGGGCUGUUGUGAUGAUUCAUAAUAAUUGAUCUGAGCAAGGCUAGGCCUUGCUAAAUCAAUCAAGUUUCUGCCCUAUCAUUUUGAUGGUAGUGUAUUUGACUACCAUGAGGAUAAUGGGUAUGUGGAAUUAGGGUUUGAUUUGUGGAGAGGGAGUUUGAGAAAUGGCUACCAUUUCUAAGGAAGGUAGUAGGUGUGCAAAUUACCCAAUCCCGAUUUGGGGAGGUAGUGAUAAGAAAUAAUAAUUUGGGUCUCAUGAUUUUGAGAUUAAAAUGAGAAUAAUUUAAAAAAUUUAAUGAGGAAUAAUUGGAGGGUAAGUCUGGUGUUAGUAGUUGUGGUAAUUCCAGCUCCAAUAGUGUAUAUUAAAGUUGUUGUAGUUAAAAAGCUCGUAGUUGAUUUUCUAAGCGUCAACCACGACGGUUUUGGUUUUGUUGUUGGCUCUUAUCGGACCGAGAACUUCUCUCGGCCUUUAUUGGUCGAAGAUGUAAAUCGGUCAUUUUAUUGAGAAAAAAUUAGAGUGUUCAAAGUAGGCUUUAUGCCUUGAAUAUACAAGCUUGGAAUAAUAGAAUAAGACUAAAUUCUUUUUUGUUGGUUAUAAGGGUUUAGUAAUGAUUAAUAGAAACAGUUGGGGGCAUUAGUAUCUAAUUGUCAGAGGUGAAAUUUUUGGAUUUAUUAGAGACUAACUUAUGCGAAAGCAUUUGCCAAAGAUGUUUUUAAUUGAUCAAGAACGAAAGUUAGGGGAUUAAAGAUGAUUAGAUAUUGUUCUAGUCUUAAUUAUAAAUGAUUCCGACUAAGGAUUGGGAGGGUUCUUAAAAGCCCUCCCAGCACUUUAUGAGAAAUCAUAAGUCUUUAGGUUCCGGGGGAAGUAUGGAUAUAAGUUUGAAACUUAAAGGAAUUGACGGAAGGGUACACAAGGAGUGGAACUUGCGGCUUAAUUUGACCCAAUAUGGGGAAACUUACCAGGUUAAGAUAUGGGUAGGAUUGACAGAAAUGAGAGUUUUUUCUUGAUUCUAUGGGUGGUGGUGCAUGGCCGUUCUUAGUUGGUGGAGUGAUUUGUUUGGUUAAUUUUGUUAACGAACGAGACCUUACCCUGUUAAAUAGGAGCUGAAUGAAUAAUUUGGUAUCCUUCUUAGAGGGACUAUGUGUUCAAGCACAUGGAAGUUUGAGGUAAUAAUAGGUCUGUGAUGCCCCUAGACGUCCUGGGCCGCACGUGUGUUACAAUGACACAGGCAACGAGUUUGUCUUGUUUUGACAA
This 1479-nucleotide ribosomal RNA is filed under the name metagenome. RNAcentral's name for it is "SSU rRNA". It matches the Rfam family "Eukaryotic small subunit ribosomal RNA", at positions 1 to 1539 of the family's 1831-position model. The record is from RNAcentral.